AGAAUCAACGCUGGCGGCGUGCCUAACACAUGCAAGUCGCACGAGAAAGGGGCUUCGGCUCUGAGUAAAGUGGCGCACGGGUGAGUAACACGUGAAUUAUCUACCUCCGAGUGGGGAAUAACUGAGAGAAAUCUUAGCUAAUACCGCAUAACACUUACGAGUCAAAGCAGCAAUGCGCUUGGAGAGGAGUUCGCGGCCGAUUAGUUAGUUGGCGGGGUAAUGGCCCACCAAGACGAUGAUCGGUAUCCGGCCUGAGAGGGCGCACGGACACACUGGAACUGAAACACGGUCCAGACUCCUACGGGAGGCAGCAGUGGGGAAUUUUGCGCAAUGGGGAAACCCUGACGCAGCAACGCCGCGUGGAGGAUGAAAUCCCUUGGGAUGUAAACUCCUUUCGAUAGGGAAGAUUAUGACGGUACCUAUAGAAGAAGCCCGGCUAACUUCGUGCCAGCAGCCGC
RNAcentral lists this ribosomal RNA (458 nucleotides) under uncultured bacterium. RNAcentral's name for it is "SSU rRNA". It matches the Rfam family "Bacterial small subunit ribosomal RNA", at positions 26 to 518 of the family's 1533-position model. The record is from RNAcentral.